UGAUUCUAUGCCUUGCUCACU
RNAcentral lists this non-coding RNA (21 nucleotides) under Caenorhabditis elegans. The record is from RNAcentral. Lineage: Eukaryota; Metazoa; Nematoda; Chromadorea; Rhabditida; Rhabditidae.